AGUCGAACGAUGAAGCCUUUCGGGGUGGAUUAGUGGCGAACGGGUGAGUAACACGUGGGCAAUCUGCCCUUCACUCUGGGACAAGCCCUGGAAACGGGGUCUAAUACCGGAUAAUACUUCUGCCUGCAUGGGUGGGGGUUGAAAGCUCCGGCGGUGAAGGAUGAGCCCGCGGCCUAUCAGCUUGUUGGUGGGGUAAUGGCCUACCAAGGCGACGACGGGUAGCCGGCCUGAGAGGGCGACCGGCCACACUGGGACUGAGACACGGCCCAGACUCCUACGGGAGGCAGCAGUGGGGAAUAUUGCACAAUGGGCGAAAGCCUGAUGCAGCGACGCCGCGUGAGGGAUGACGGCCUUCGGGUUGUAAACCUCUUUCAGCAGGGAAGAAGCGCAAGUGACGGUACCUGCAGAAGAAGCGCCGGCUAACUACGUGCCAGCAGCCGCGGUAAUACGUAGGGCGCAAGCGUUGUCCGGAAUUAUUGGGCGUAAAGAGCUCGUAGGCGGCUUGUCACGUCGGAUGUGAAAGCCCGGGGCUUAACCCCGGGUCUGCAUUCGAUACGGGCUAGCUAGAGUGUGGUAGGGGAGAUCGGAAUUCCUGGUGUAGCGGUGAAAUGCGCAGAUAUCAGGAGGAACACCGGUGGCGAAGGCGGAUCUCUGGGCCAUUACUGACGCUGAGGAGCGAAAGCGUGGGGAGCGAACAGGAUUAGAUACCCUGGUAGUCCACGCCGUAAACGUUGGGAACUAGGUGUUGG
RNAcentral lists this ribosomal RNA (749 nucleotides) under Streptomyces sp. RNAcentral describes it as "bacterial SSU rRNA". It matches the Rfam family "Bacterial small subunit ribosomal RNA", at positions 60 to 826 of the family's 1533-position model. Lineage: Bacteria; Bacillati; Actinomycetota; Actinomycetes; Kitasatosporales; Streptomycetaceae. The record is from RNAcentral.